This is a long non-coding RNA of Cynara cardunculus var. scolymus (artichoke), 1052 nucleotides long. RefSeq lists it as uncharacterized. The record is from RefSeq and is a predicted model, not a curated record. Lineage: Eukaryota; Viridiplantae; Streptophyta; Magnoliopsida; Asterales; Asteraceae. The transcript is spliced from 2 exons.
ACAUUAUGCUGAUUCGAUCACUCUAUCAAACCCUGACCCUGAUCAUCACCUUAUACUGAUUCGAUUCCUCGAUGACUGUUCUCUCAGAUUACAAAGAGGAAGAUCAGAAGCCAACGGAAAAUGCCAGAAAGAACAGGAAGAUCGGUAGAUGGAGGAGUCAGGAUUCUUGAUCCAGACAAAAAAAAAACAAGAAGAUCGAUAGACGGAAGAGUCAAACGACGAUGAUGUGGAAGCCGUUUACUGAACUUCUAACAAACCCGCUCAAAAUAAGACAAGGAAGAGUUAUGUUGCUUUUCUGUUCUUUUUUGUAUAUAGGUAAUAUUAGUUUCACAGCUAUUCUUCCAAAUUAUGCUUCUUUAUUUAUGCCAAAUGGUUUUCCUUGGUUAUAGCGCAGAUAGCUGUUGAAGAACUAUAUCAAUCCAGAUCAUUGAGGUUUCCAAGAGAAUGACCACACCACAACUACAAGUACUCUAAUGUAUUAGGAAAUAGAUGUUGAAGAUACUAUUACUACAUAGUCCAGCUACGAGUGUCUUAUGACAAGGUUACCUCUCAGUCAGUUCUCUGCUUUUGUCUUGAAGAACAUCAACAAUCAUGACGUACCUUGUUGUGCAACAAGUUCCCAUAUAUGGAUAGCAACAUGAAGGAAUGCAGCAACAAUGAUCAUAAGAAUAACUCAUACAAAUGAGUCUGCUCAUGAGUGCUUGCCAUAGAGAAGAAAUCACAGGAAUGAGGAACAAAACCUAUACUGACAAAGGAAGGGCCACUAUGAUAUUCAUGAAUCUAAUGCGUAUAAGAUCUAAAAACUAAGCUCUUGUGAAUUUAUUAUUAAUUCAGAGUACAACAGAAGAAAAUAUCCAGAAGACGGAGUUGUAGACGACGUAAUGAUGAUUCUAUCCUGUGAAGAGUAACUACGUAUUCAUAGAUAUAUCAUCUUAAAUCAAAUAAGUGUAAGGAUAUGAAUGGAAGAGGUUGACAAUAAGUUCUUUCAAAAUUAACUAUUUGUCCCUCUGUUAGAGGUGUUCCAAAAAUGUCUGCGAUCGAUUUUGAUGGUC